UAGGGAAUCUUCCGCAAUGGACGAAAGUCUGACGGAGCAACGCCGCGUGAGUGAAGAAGGAUUUCGGUUCGUAAAACUCUGUUGUUAGGGAAGAAAAAAUGUAUAGUAACUAUAUACAAAAGAGACGGUACCUAACCAGAAAGCCACGGCUAACUAAGUGCCAGCAGCCGCGGUAAUACGUAGGUGGCAAGCGUUGUCCGGAAUUAUUGGGCGUAAAGCGCGCGCAGGUGGUUUAGAAAGACUGAUGUGAAAGCCCACGGCUCAACCGUGGAGGGUCAUUGGAAACUAAUAAACUUGAGUGCAGGAGAGAAAAGUGGAAUUCCUAGUGUAGCGGUGAAAUGCGUAGAGAUUAGGAGGAACACCGGUGGCGAAAGCGGCUUUUUGGCCUGCAACUGACACUGAGGCGCGAAAGCGUGGGGAGCAAACAGG
This 429-nucleotide ribosomal RNA is filed under the name Verrucomicrobiota bacterium. RNAcentral describes it as "Verrucomicrobia bacterium partial 16S ribosomal RNA". It matches the Rfam family "Bacterial small subunit ribosomal RNA", at positions 355 to 776 of the family's 1533-position model. Lineage: Bacteria; Pseudomonadati; Verrucomicrobiota. The record is from RNAcentral.